Molecule: ribosomal RNA, 478 nt
Filed under: uncultured bacterium
Lineage: Bacteria
Description: partial 16S ribosomal RNA
Rfam family: Bacterial small subunit ribosomal RNA
Source: RNAcentral
GACGAACGCUGGCGGCGUGCUUAACACAUGCAAGUCGAACGGUAAGGCCCUUCGGGGUACACGAGUGGCGAACGGGUGAGUAACACGUGGGUGAUCUGCCCUGCACUUCGGGAUAAGCCUGGGAAACUGGGUCUAAUACCGGAUAGGACCACUGCCUGCAUGGGGGGUGGUGGAAAGCUUUUGCGGUGUGGGAUGGGCCCGCGGCCUAUCAGCUUGUUGGUGGGGUGAUGGCCUACCAAGGCGACGACGGGUAGCCGGCCUGAGAGGGUGACCAGCCACACUGGGACUGAGAUACGGCCCAGACUCCUACGGGAGGCAGCAGUGGGGAAUAUUGCACAAUGGGCGCAAGCCUGAUGCAGCGACGCCGCGUGAGGGAUGACGGCCUUCGGGUUGUAAACCUCUUUCAGCACCGACGAAGCGCAAGUGACGGUAGGUGCAGAAGAAGGACCGGCCAACUACGUGCCAGCCGCCGCGGUAA